This 469-nucleotide long non-coding RNA is filed under the name Ursus maritimus (polar bear). Its description in RNAcentral is "lncRNA (ENSUMAG00000014501.1)". The record is from RNAcentral. Lineage: Eukaryota; Metazoa; Chordata; Mammalia; Carnivora; Ursidae.
AUCUGGAGGAGGGCUGCAGGUACUACCCGGACACGCUGCGCGACGGGGCGCUGAGGAAGACGGCUCUGACACCAGGAGACCGGAUGGGCAGCAUGGAGAGGACAAGAAUCUACAUUUUUUUCAUCAAACACCCACUGGAAAAACUUGAGCAUGGACACCAAAUAUUUGAAGAUGCUGACAAAUUACUACAGUGCUUUUGAGCAUUGCAGAUGGUGCUGGCAGCCCCCCUGCCAGCUCGUUGCCUUUUCCCUUUGCUGUUUUACAAAUGGGAAGCAGGGAGAGAAAGGGUCCCAGAUGUGCCAAGGACAGAGAAGAAGACAAAGCUCCUCGCUUCGCGUGCAGUCCGCCCAGUGGAUGACUCCUGUCUGAUCAUGUCCAUGUUGUGGAGAGUUGUGUGAAAUCACCGCAUGAUACUAAUAGCGACACUGGGAAUUGUAUAAAAGCAAAUAAAACUGUGCUUCCGAAAGCA